GAUGAACGCUGGCGGCGUGCCUAACACAUGCAAGUCGAGCGAUUUACUUCGGUAAAGAGCGGCGGACGGGUGAGUAACGCGUGGGUAACCUGCCCUGUACACACGGAUAACAUACCGAAAGGUAUGCUAAUACGAGAUAAUAUGCUUUUAUCGCAUGGUAGAAGCAUCAAAGCUUUUGCGGUACAGGAUGGACCCGCGUCUGAUUAGCUAGUUGGUAAGGUAACGGCUUACCAAGGCGACGAUCAGUAGCCGACCUGAGAGGGUGAUCGGCCACAUUGGCACUGAGACACGGUCCAAACUCCUACGGGAGGCAGCAGUGGGGAAUAUUGCACAAUGGGCGAAAGCCUGAUGCAGCAACGCCGCGUGAGCGAUGAAGGCCUUCGGGUCGUAAAGCUCUGUCCUCAAGGAAGGUAGUGACGGUACUUGAGGAGGAAGCCCCGGCUAACUACGUGCCAGCCGCCGCAGUAA
This 468-nucleotide ribosomal RNA is filed under the name uncultured bacterium. RNAcentral's name for it is "partial 16S ribosomal RNA". It matches the Rfam family "Bacterial small subunit ribosomal RNA", at positions 28 to 523 of the family's 1533-position model. The record is from RNAcentral.